Molecule: ribosomal RNA, 407 nt
Filed under: uncultured bacterium
Lineage: Bacteria
Description: partial 16S ribosomal RNA
Rfam family: Bacterial small subunit ribosomal RNA
Source: RNAcentral
GACGAACGCUGGCGGCGUGCCUAAUACAUGCAAGUCGACCUUAGUGGCGGACGGGUGAGUAAUAUAUCGGAAAGUGCCCAGUAGCGGGGGAUAAAUCUUCGAAAGAGUGGCUAAUACCGCAUACUAUGGGAACGGCAGAUAUCGGAUUAGCGAGUUGGUGGGGUAAAGGCUCACCAAGGCCACGAUGGAUAGCCGGCCUGACAGUGUGAUCGGCCACACUGGGACUGAGACACGGCCCAGACUCCUACGGGAGGCAGCAGUGGGGAAUUUUGGACAAUGGGGGAAACCCUGAUCCAGCCAUGCCGCGUGUGUGAAGAAGGUCUUCGGAUUGUAAAGCACUUUAAGUUGGGAGGCGUUACCAACAGAAUAAGCACCGGCUAACUUCGUGCCAGCAGCCGCGGUAAUUC